This 465-nucleotide ribosomal RNA is filed under the name Vreelandella stevensii. RNAcentral's name for it is "partial 16S ribosomal RNA". It matches the Rfam family "Bacterial small subunit ribosomal RNA", at positions 338 to 795 of the family's 1533-position model. Lineage: Bacteria; Pseudomonadati; Pseudomonadota; Gammaproteobacteria; Oceanospirillales; Halomonadaceae. The record is from RNAcentral.
CCUACGGGAGGCUGCAGUGGGGAAUAUUGGACAAUGGGGGCAACCCUGAUCCAGCCAUGCCGCGUGUGUGAAGAAGGCCCUCGGGUUGUAAAGCACUUUCAGUGAGGAAGAACGCCUGGUGGUUAAUACCCAUCAGGAAAGACAUCACCCACAGAAGAAGCACCGGCUAACUCCGUGCCAGCAGCCGCGGUAAUACGGAGGGUGCGAGCGUUAAUCGGAAUUACUGGGCGUAAAGCGCGCGUAGGUGGCUUGAUAAGCCGGUUGUGAAAGCCCCGGGCUCAACCUGGGAACGGCAUCCGGAACUGUCAAGCUAGAGUGCAGGAGAGGAAGGUAGAAUUCCCGGUGUAGCGGUGAAAUGCGUAGAGAUCGGGAGGAAUACCAGUGGCGAAGGCGGCCUUCUGGACUGACACUGACACUGAGGUGCGAAAGCGUGGGUAGCAAACAGGAUUAGAUACCCCUGUAGUC